This 910-nucleotide ribosomal RNA is filed under the name uncultured bacterium. RNAcentral's name for it is "bacterial SSU rRNA". It matches the Rfam family "Bacterial small subunit ribosomal RNA", at positions 33 to 927 of the family's 1533-position model. The record is from RNAcentral.
ACGCUGGCGGCGUGCCUAAUACAUGCAAGUAGAACGCUGAAGGAGGAGCUUGCUUCUCUGGAUGAGUUGCGAACGGGUGAGUAACGCGUAGGUAACCUGCCUGGUAGCGGGGGAUAACUAUUGGAAACGAUAGCUAAUACCGCAUAACAGUAGAUGUUGCAUGACAUUUGCUUAAAAGGUGCAAUUGCAUCACUACCAGAUGGACCUGCGUUGUAUUAGCUAGUUGGUGGGGUAACGGCUCACCAAGGCGACGAUACAUAGCCGACCUGAGAGGGUGAUCGGCCACACUGGGACUGAGACACGGCCCAGACUCCUACGGGAGGCAGCAGUAGGGAAUCUUCGGCAAUGGACGGAAGUCUGACCGAGCAACGCCGCGUGAGUGAAGAAGGUUUUCGGAUCGUAAGGCUCUGUUGUAAGAGAAGAACGGGUGUGAGAGUGGAAAGUUCACACUGUGACGGUAUCUUACCAGAAAGGGACGGCUAACUACGUGCCAGCAGCCGCGGUAAUACGUAGGUCCCGAGCGUUGUCCGGAUUUAUUGGGCGUAAAGCGAGCGCAGGCGGUUAGAUAAGUCUGAAGUUAAAGGCUGUGGCUUAACCAUAGUACGCUUUGGAAACUGUUUAACUUGAGUGCAAGAGGGGAGAGUGGAAUUCCAUGUGUAGCGGUGAAAUGCGUAGAUAUAUGGAGGAACACCGGUGGCGAAAGCGGCUCUCUGGCUUGUAACUGACGCUGAGGCUCGAAAGCGUGGGGGGCAAACAGGAUUAGAUACCCUGGUAGUCCACGCCGUAAACGAUGAGUGCUAGGUGUUAGACCCUUUCCGGGGUUUAGUGCCGCAGCUAACGCAUUAAGCACUCCGCCUGGGGAGUACGACCGCAAGGUUGAAACUCAAAGGAAUUGACGGGGGCCCGCACA